Sander lucioperca (pikeperch) is the source of this 614-nucleotide long non-coding RNA. RefSeq lists it as uncharacterized. The transcript has 4 exons. NCBI's taxonomy places the organism in Eukaryota, Metazoa, Chordata, Actinopteri, Perciformes, Percidae. The record is from RefSeq and is a predicted model, not a curated record.
GAUUUAAUCACGGGCUUACUUCGUUUUGGAAUAAAGGUCACUGAAGAGGAGCGAAGUAAAUUCAAAGAUAAUGAAGUUGACGGAGAAGCAGUGGACUAUGGAUUGACUGAGAGGAUGGUUUCAUACCUCUUUGAAGGAUCGUUUAAGAAGCAAGCCAAAUUCAACCGAUUUGUACAGCAGUGGAAAGAAACCGUGACACUAACCGUUGAGCCUGUCCCGGUACAUUCAGAGAAGGCUACAGUGGAAUCAAGAAUGAAUAUCUGCCGAAGAUUUGAAGAUGGCUUUUAAGAUCCUAGUACCCACAGUGCUUAGACUGACUCAAAGGAAAGCUCCCCUUGCAGAUCUGGCUUUGGAGGAAAGAGAGGCUGCCCUCACCGAAGAUGUCCCUGGGAUUGAUUUCAGAGCUGCAAUCCUGCUGUUGCCGAUCCUGUUCAGGGAGAAAAAUGACAUUCUCAUCAUACUUGGAGAGGUGUGUAAUUUGCGUAUACUUAUUUUUUGUUUACAUUACUUCACGCAGAGACUGGGAGAAUUAUAUGCAUCCCUUGGAUGUCUUAUUUCAUAAUACAAAGUUUCUAGCUGUCAAUACUGGGCCUUGGUGUGGACAUGGGGGAACG